UUACCCCUGCAGAGUUCGUGAUUGAAACAUAUCCCUUGACCCAACAAGAAAAAUUGGGGGCCUUCACCUGGAUUCGGUGUGCAGGUUCCGCUUGUACGGAAAAGCCUAAAGAGUCUAUAAGGCGCCCACCUUGACCUAAAGGUUCAAGGUCCUUUCAACACGGCUCCCGGCGGGGGUAUU
Molecule: non-coding RNA, 180 nt
Filed under: Methanoregula sp.
Lineage: Archaea; Methanobacteriati; Methanobacteriota; Methanomicrobia; Methanomicrobiales; Methanoregulaceae
Description: 6S RNA
Rfam family: 6S / SsrS RNA
About the family: E. coli 6S RNA was the first non coding RNA to be sequenced, but its function was unknown until recently.
Source: RNAcentral